This 839-nucleotide non-coding RNA is filed under the name Sciaenops ocellatus (red drum). Its description in RNAcentral is "partial small subunit ribosomal RNA". It matches the Rfam family "Bacterial small subunit ribosomal RNA", at positions 237 to 1533 of the family's 1533-position model. Lineage: Eukaryota; Metazoa; Chordata; Actinopteri; Sciaenidae. The record is from RNAcentral.
GGUAUCAGGCACAAUUAAUUAUAGCCCACGACACCUUGCUUUGCCACACCCUCAAGGGAACUCAGCAGUGAUAGACAUUAAGCCAUAAGUGAAAACUUGACUUAGUUAAAGCUAAGAGGGCCGGUUAAACUCGUGCCAGCCACCGCGGUUAUACGAGAGGCCCAAGUCGAUAGUCAACGGCGUAAAGAGUGGUUAGAAGGAACCCCUUACUAAAGCCGAACGCCCUCAAAGCUGUUAUACGCAUACGAAGGUGAGAAGCUCAUCCACGAAAGUGGCUUUAUAACCUUGAACCCACGAAAGCUAUGGUACAAACUGGGAUUAGAUACCCCACUAUGCUUAGCCUUAAACAUUGACAACAACAUACACCUGUUGUCCGCCUGGGAACUACGAGCAUUAGCUUGAAACCCAAAGGACUUGGCGGUGCUUUAGAUCCACCUAGAGGAGCCUGUUCUAGAACCGAUAACCCCCGUUCAACCUCACCCUUCUUUGUUUCCCCCGCCUAUAUACCGCCGUCGUCAGCUUACCCUGUGAAGGACUUAUAGUAAGCAAAAUUGGUAUAACCCUAAACGCCAGGUCGAGGUGUAGCGUAUGGAAGGGGAAGAAAUGGGCUACAUUCUCUAAUACAGAGAAUACGAAUGAUGUACUGAAAUACACAUCUGAAGGAGGAUUUAGCAGUAAGCAGGAAAUAGAGUGUCCCGCUGAAAUCGGCCCUGAAGCGCGCACACACCGCCCGUCACUCUCCCCAAACUAAUUAAAAUCAAUUAAAUAAAAACCCAUCACAGUGAAGGGGAGGCAAGUCGUAACAUGGUAAGUGUACCGGAAGGUGCACUUGGAAAAAU